ACACACACACACACACACACGUUUGUCUCCCAAACUACACACACGCACACACACCAGAUUCAUCUCCCAAACUCCACACGCACCAGAUUCAUCUCCCAAACUCCACACACACACACACACACACAUCAGAUUCGUCUCCCAAACUCCACACACACACACACACACACCAGAUUCAGCUCCCAAACUACACACACACACACACACACACACACACACCCCUACCUGCCUUCCUGAUGCUGCCACUCACUGCAUACCAACACAGCCCAAAUUUUAAACAUCUGAAACCUAAUUCUGGCCUUUUCUCAAGCCUGCUUUACCCACAGUCUUCCCCAUCCCAGCUUCAGGCAACCUCAUUUUCGUAGUAGCCAC
This 369-nucleotide long non-coding RNA is filed under the name Pan troglodytes (chimpanzee). Its description in RNAcentral is "long non-coding RNA NONPTRT016011". Lineage: Eukaryota; Metazoa; Chordata; Mammalia; Primates; Hominidae. The record is from RNAcentral.